RNAcentral lists this transfer RNA (31 nucleotides) under Pituophis ruthveni. Its description in RNAcentral is "partial tRNA-Leu". Lineage: Eukaryota; Metazoa; Chordata; Lepidosauria; Squamata; Colubridae. The record is from RNAcentral.
UACUAAAGGAUAACAGCAUUCCACUGGUCUU